This 141-nucleotide ribosomal RNA is filed under the name uncultured bacterium. Its description in RNAcentral is "partial 16S ribosomal RNA". It matches the Rfam family "Bacterial small subunit ribosomal RNA", at positions 355 to 508 of the family's 1533-position model. The record is from RNAcentral.
UGGGGAAUAUUGCACAAUGGGCGAAAGCCUGAUGCAGCGACGCCGCGUGAGGGAUGAAGGCCUUCGGGUUGUAAACCUCUUUCAGUAGGGAAGAAGCGCAAGUGACGGUACCUACAGAAGAAGCACCGGCUAACUACGUGC